Molecule: ribosomal RNA, 253 nt
Filed under: uncultured bacterium
Lineage: Bacteria
Description: partial 16S ribosomal RNA
Rfam family: Bacterial small subunit ribosomal RNA
Source: RNAcentral
UACGAACCGUACAAACGUUAUUCGGAAUCACUGGGCUUAAAGGGUGCGUAGGCGGCCAUGUAAGUGAGGUGUGAAAUCCCUCGGCUCAACCGAGGAACUGCGCUUCAUACUGCAUGGCUUGAGGGAGACAGGGGUAAGCGGAACUGAUGGUGGAGCGGUGAAAUGCGUUGAUAUGCAGAGGAACUCCGGUGGCGAAGGCGGCCCGCUGGACCCCAUCUGACGCUGAGGCGCGAAAGCCAGGGGAGCGAACGGG